Molecule: long non-coding RNA, 3600 nt
Organism: Cuculus canorus (common cuckoo)
Lineage: Eukaryota; Metazoa; Chordata; Aves; Cuculiformes; Cuculidae
Exons: 7
Source: RefSeq, a predicted model, not a curated record
AUAGUAAAGGAGGUCUGCUUUGAAAAAGGGAAGGGAGUCUACCAGUGUUCAGAUAAGAUCAUGAAGAGCAAAUUCAGAGAAAACAGGUGACUGAGAGGAGUGAUGAGGAAAGAGGCUGAAGCAGCGAGAGAGAAAUGAAAGAUUACCUGAUGAUCAUAAGACUUCAUAAGCCACUGGAGAUGACAUAAUCAGAAAUGUAACAAUAUGGGGAGGACUUGCGGCAGACUGUCACUAAAGAAUGGAGAUUCAAGCCUCUGGAUUUGAAACAUUAAGUGCAACGACAGGGCUUAUCUUUGAUGGCAUGCACGUAUACAUUCUGAAGGAAGUUAAUGCAGGGUACUUACUUUCAGGAAAGGAUCAAAAACUGCUUUUAAGAAGUAAGGAAAAAUAAAUGCAGCAGGGUAUUCUCAACCCCAUUCCUUCAGCCUCCACGGAAAUAUCUCCCAUCAUCUGCCUGAAUUCAGCUCUGCAGUCCUGCUGUGGCUUCUAAAUUUAAGGGAAACAUCUCUCUGUCUCUGAGAUCUCCUGAUGUAGUUGUACAUCUCAUCUCCUGAUGUAGUUGUUCCAUUAUUUUUACAAAUAAGUACUCAUUGGCUUAGAUAGUAUGUAAGAAUAAUCUUAUGCAGGUUGGUAGUAUGGCUUUUAUUCGAGAAACGCAAAAUCCUAGCUUAGGAUUGCUGUAACAGCUACUGAUUACACUACUCUUUAUGAAGCUGAGUCUCCAGUUCAGUCACCUUUCUGAACAAGGUAACAUUAAAAUUUGAAUCUGAGGCUCCUGCAGCCCGGCAAGUGCCUAACCAUUAAAUUCUAUGGUACACAGAGAAAUCUCUGUUUUAUCAAUGGCAGUGAAGUCCUAUUCUGAGUUUGGUAAUUUUAAAAAUGUAUAUCUUUUUUUAAGAAAAAAAGAGAAAUAUUUUAAAGAAAAAAACCCGAAUGAGGUAACUUUUCAAUUUGACUCCACCCACCUAAAUUUAUUAUUUGUGUAUCUAUUUCAAAAUGUGUCAGGAAGGAAGGAAUUAUCAAAGUAUAUGUUAAACUCAGCAUCUUCAUACUACAGACUCGAAAAUAAUUAACAGUCUAGAUUUCUGCAUAGCAGAGUAUUAUCUCUUAUUAGAAAACUUGGCAAUGUAAGCAUGGGACAGAGCAAUAACUUCCACAACUGCUUGCUGUUGGCUUGAGGGUCUGUUAAGCACUUAGAAUUACACAGGAAGUCACCUGUUUAAGUGGUGAGCUCAUCUCUUUGCCAUAUACUCCUACCCAAGAUAGCACAACACAAAAAUAGCUCUGGUUUAUUUGAUUUGUUUUAACUCAGGAUGUUAUGAUUUGCCUCUGAAACCUGAUGACACAGAAUACGAGAUUCAGGGAUAACAUGAAAUGGACACUAGAUGAUACAUGAAUUUGUAGCCAUAUUUUCAAGCUAAGUCUGCUACCAUUUGUCAGAUUUAUUACUGUUUUUAUCCCCAAAUUGUCAUCAUAAAAUGAAUAAAAAUUAUUGGAAUGCAAGGAUACACCCUUUCCUGAUGAGAUGACCAACUUAGUGAUUGAGGGGAGAGCAGUAUAUGUUGCUUAUUCUGACUGUAGUUUUAGAUACUGCCUUCCAAAACAUCCUCAUAGACAAGCUGAUUAAAAAUGGGAUAAAUAAGUGAACAGUUAGGUGGGUCAAAAAUCGGAUAAACUUCCAGGCUUAGAGGGUUGCAAUCAACAGGACAAAGUGUACCUGAAGGCCAGUCACUGGCAGUAUACCCCAAGGGUCGACAUUUGGUCCAGUACAUUUUAACUUCUUCAUUAGUGACCUGGAUAUUAGUGUAAAGUAUACCUUCAGUAAGUUUGCUGAGGAUACAAAAUGAGGAGCAGCGUUUGAUGCAACAGGUGUCUGUGCUGCUAUUCGGAAGAACCUCAACAGGCUGGAUAAAUGAAUUGACAGGUACCUCAUGAAACUGAAGAAAGGUAAGUGUUAAAUUCUACACUUGCACAGGAAUAAACCCUUGCACCAGUACACGCUGGUGGCUGGAAAGCAGCUCAGAAGAAAAGGAAUUGAGGUUUUGGCAGACAGCAAGUUGAAUAUGGGUCAGCAAUGUGCCCUUGCCGCAAAGAAGGAGAACAGACUCCUGUGCUGCACUAAGCAAAACAUUGCCAGCAGGUUAGGGAAGCCAUCCCUCCUUCUGGUGGGACACACCUGGAGUCCUGUGUCCGGUGCUGGGCUUCCCAGUAUGAGAGACAUGUAUGUAAUACAGCAAGUCCGGUGAAAUGCUACAAAGAUGACCAAGGGACUGGAGGAUCUUUCAUAAGAGGAGAGGCUGAGAGAGGUGAGAUUGUUCACAGUGGAGAAAAGAAUGCUCAGGAAGGAUCUUAUUAAUGUACACAAAUGCCUGCUGGGAGGCUGCAAAGAACAAGGAGCUAGGUUCUUCUCAGUGGUGCUCAAUGGCAUAAGAGAGAUUACGUACAAGUUGAAACACAGGAAAUUCCAUCUGAGCAUAACAAAAACUUCUUCAUUACAACAGUGGUUGAUAACUGGCAGAGGUUGCCCAGAAAGGCUGCAUUAUCUUCAUCCUUGGAGAUACUCAAAACCCAAUUGGGAAUUAAGCAUGGCCAUAGGCAACCUGCUGUGACUCUGCCUGAGCAGGGGUGGAGGUGUCUACCCAGAUUUUCUGCCCAGUCAAGUUGAAAUAAAGGAAAUUCUGCCUGAACAUAAGAAAAACUUACUUACUAUGUGAAUUGACAAACAUAGGAACACACUUACCUCCACUUUCUUUUCCAAAAACUGUGACAAAUUCAGCUUUUUUGUCUUCUGAUGACAAAAUUGAUUAUUUCCACUUAUGCAUAGUUGUAUACUGUUUUGAAAAUUAUCUCCAUUAUUUUUUCAGAACAUUUCUUAAAGCUGACAGAAAAGAAUAAUUUGAAUUCUUUUCCUUUAAUGUUCUAGCAUGUCAGCUUAUCUUUUCAUUAUGCACAAAUCAAAUUAGUCUAUUUUAUCACCCAGGACAUUAAUGAAGAUACUGAUUACAACUAAACACUGGAAACAUCACUGUUUGGCACUAAGGCUGAACAACCCCAACUCUCAGCCUUUCUUCACAGAAGAGGUGCUCCAGCCUUCUGAUCAUGUCUGUGGCCCUUCUCUGGACCCGCUCCAACAGGUCCCUUUCCUUCCUGUGCUGAGGGCUCCAGAGCUGGACACAGUAAUCCAGGUGAAGUCUCACCUACGUGGAGUAGAGGAGCAGAAUCACCUCCUUUGAUCUACUGGCAACACUCCUUUUGAUGAAGGCAAGGAUAUGAUUGGGUUCCAGAGCUGUGAGUGCACGUUGUCAGCUCUUGUCCAUGUUUUCAUCUACCAGUACACUGAGAACCACAAGGUUCCCUUUGGUGCCUUGGUCUCUGAUUCUUACCCAUAGGCUUUCAACAUGCUCAUGGCUAUUCUUCAGAGACAGCUCUUCAUACCCUAUCCAUUUCUUGAUGUAGUGGGCAACACCUCUGCCCCUCCUUCCUCACCUACCCCUUCUGAGCAGUCUGUAGCCAUUGAUAGCUGCACUGCCGUCAUGGGAUUUGUCCCACCAAGUUUCAGUCAUAGCAACUAGGUCAUUGCUUUCUAGCAGCCCAGUGCUU